UCGAGGAUCUUCGGCAAUGCGCGCAAGCGCGACCGAGCGACGCCGCGUGGGCGACGAAGGCCUUCGGGUUGUAAAGCCCUGUCGAGGGGGAGAAAGCCGCAAGGCGGAUCUAUCCCUGGAGGAAGCUCGGGCUAAGUUCGUGCCAGCAGCCGCGGUAAGACGAACCGAGCGAACGUUGUUCGGAAUCACUGGGCUUAAAGGGCGCGUAGGCGGGCUGCCGCGUCCGGGGUGAAAUCCCACGGCUCAACCGUGGAACGGCCCCGGGUACGGGCGGCCUCGAGGGGGGUAGGGGCGUGCGGAACUGUGGGUGGAGCGGUGAAAUGCGUUGAGAUCCACAGGAACUCCGGUGGCGAAGGCGGCACGCUGGACCCCUUCUGACGCUGAGGCGCGAAAGCCAGGGGAGCGAACG
This 409-nucleotide ribosomal RNA is filed under the name uncultured Gemmata sp. RNAcentral describes it as "bacterial SSU rRNA". It matches the Rfam family "Bacterial small subunit ribosomal RNA", at positions 355 to 774 of the family's 1533-position model. The record is from RNAcentral. Lineage: Bacteria; Pseudomonadati; Planctomycetota; Planctomycetia; Gemmatales; Gemmataceae.